ACACUCUUGUUUCUCUUCAUAUCGUAUAAAUCUUUCGCCUUUUACUAAAGAUUUCCGUGGAAAGGAACAUUAUGAGUAUUAUCUAAUUUUUGGUGUCCUACCUAAUAGUAGGAC
Molecule: small nuclear RNA, 114 nt
Organism: Ictalurus punctatus (channel catfish)
Lineage: Eukaryota; Metazoa; Chordata; Actinopteri; Siluriformes; Ictaluridae
Gene: U5
Rfam family: U5 spliceosomal RNA
About the family: U5 RNA is a component of both types of known spliceosome. The precise function of this molecule is unknown, though it is known that the 5' loop is required for splice site selection and p220 binding, and that both the 3' stem-loop and the Sm site are important for Sm protein binding and cap methylation.
Source: Ensembl